RNAcentral lists this long non-coding RNA (1664 nucleotides) under Sitophilus oryzae (rice weevil). RNAcentral's name for it is "uncharacterized LOC115887158, transcript variant X5". The record is from RNAcentral. Lineage: Eukaryota; Metazoa; Arthropoda; Insecta; Coleoptera; Curculionidae.
AUAGGAGGUGAAUUUGUGUUAUCAGGAGCUGAGAGUUUAAAAAAAACAAAAAAUAGCAGAAAAUAGUAUGGAAAUAGAAAUAUACUGAAUACAAAAAAUUAAGGUUUGUAGCUUGCCUGAUGUGUGGUUCAAAUUCACCCUGGACCUCUAAAAACCAUCGCUUUAUUACCUGAGAAAGUAUUACCUAAGAAAAUACCAAUAUUUUGCCAAUGUACUGCCUGUGAACAUCAAUAUAAUACCCUUAUAAUACUAAAGCGAUUCUGAUUUUGGUACCAGAGACUGAGGUUGCAAUUUCAGUGUGUUCUUCAAUUUAAGUUGAAAUUAAAUGGUUUAUUAGUCAUAAAUAGUUAAGAACUGUGAAUACUAGUGGUGCAGAAAGCUCAGGGCAAUCAAUUGUUCAAUGAAAUAUACAAAUUACAGAAGGAAUUUAUGGACCAGGAAAUUGAAAUGGCUUCUAAUAGGAAUAUGAAAUUGAGGAUCGGAAUAAAUGCAAGAGAGGAUAAACCUAGAGAAAAAAUCGGAAAGGGCAUUUGAUGGUAUUACAUAGCAAAUGCAGAACAUUCACUUGUGCAAUAUCAAGCAAUGCAAAUCUGUAAGGUACAUUUUUACCAAUGCCAAUGAACUUUACUCCAGAAAAAAGAGAGAGGAUCAGAAGAUUAGCUCAAGAACAAGCUUUGAUAUUUGGAAAAGAAUAUCUGGCACAACAAAAAGCUGAAGAUUUAGGAAAGAGAUUCAUAUUUUGGGAUGUAUAAAUGAAAGGUGUAUAAAAGACUGCAGCCAGAUGAUCUGAAAAUAUCUGUGUUUACUGGGCAAAGAAAGAGGGGUAAUAGGUGCCAUCGGUAUAAUAAGAGGCUGCCAGAGGUAACAGACGAGCUGUGGAAGGUCGUGGACGGAUAUAAAACUGCCGAGAUUAUAGAUAAAUUCUUAAUUCUUUUUGAAGUCAAGAAAUGCGUCAGUACUGCCACUUGCUUGCUUUGAUGCGACAAUACGAAGGAUGAUGAAGAAUGUUUGAAUAUUUUUAAAUCAAACAGAAAAUCAUCAAAUAGAAGGCACAAAAAUAAUGCGACUCUCUACAGGUUCUGGUGGGCUUUGAAGACAUUUGAUCAGGCUGACCGUGACAAAGUCUUACAGCAUGUCACUGGAUCUUACAAAGUGUUCCUACAUGGAUUUGGUGCUCCUACAUGGAUGAACUGCAUUCAAAAUUUCAAAUUCAUAGAGAUGACUGUUCUACCGAUCGUUUACCUUCCGCGCAUACUUGCUUUAAUCAAUUGGAUCUUCCAGUAUACGGGACUAUUACGGUAAACUAAGGGCAUACUUGCUGAAGGAUAUCCAUAAAAAAUGUUCUGAAGAUUUUGAUUUUUUGCCUGAAUAAUGCAAUAAAUAUUAAAGACUGAUGUGUUUGUUUGUACUUAUCUAUAUAGUGGUCUUGAGUGUAUAUAAUAAUAUCUCUUCAAGAUCCUCGAACGUUCAGCUGGCUAGCAGACAUCACUUAUGUUAGUUUGUUCAGAAACAUCACAAACUGUAUAUUCUCUAGUAGAGAUUGAAAGCCUUUUUAAUUACGUACCCUAUGAUCGAGAAAAAACGGCGUCAACUAUGGCUAUGAAAUGAAGAUUGCUGUCAAUUUAUAUGGGAAAUGUCAUCAAUUGUCAUUACCGAGCCAACUG